ACACACACACACACACACACACACACAAACGUGUAUACUCCUUUUUAUGUUGCGUUAAACAUUUAAGUGUGUGUGUGUGUGUGUGUAGCGCUGGUGGAGGUGUAUCUCUCCUGUGAUUUGCUCUUUGUGGGGGAGAAUGGUUGGGGGAGAGGAGCCUGCACUGCUACACCUACUGAACACCUGCCACGAAUGGGCCAAUGGGUAAAACACACACAAACACACUCUAUGUGCCCUCUACUCUUCGGUAGAGUAUUACUCGCAGAGUUAGUGUGAAAAUCAAAUGAGCAUUGUAAAGCAUUAUAGAGCACACCCUUCACUUCCUGUAGAGUAUCGCAGUGUAUCAGAAUGAUUGCGUGGAUUGUACAAGAUUGCCCAUUAUAGGGUCAAUUUACCUACAUUGUAGCUCCUGUAUUGUACUACAGUCUAGUUUUAGAAGUAUUAUAGCGCUUUGAAAGGAAAUAGUAGAACUCAUGUAGAAUAUCAUGUGUUGCAGGUCUGCAGACGGUCUGUUAGCUGUUCCCUCGGCUCCUGCUCCGCUCCUGGCUGUGUGUUUAUACACUACGUUCCAAAAGCAGGGUGGUGACACUAAGCAUAUUACAGCAAACCUUCCACUAUCUGACCACAACCGAGAGGUGCUGGUUUACCUGCUGUUCUUCUAUUUAACAGACUUCCUCUCAGCGCACCUGAAACCCCAGGCCACCUAAGCUAAAUGACAUGCUCAGGAAGCGCUGGAUUUUACGAUAACUGCUCGCGGUUCACUGUCAAAAGCCUACGCCGCAGACUGACGCCCAAGUCAGCCUGUCGGGCGGGGACCCGCUCGUAUCAGGUGAUGAGACUCCGCCCAUUACCCUCGCCCCCCUUCCUACUCUGCUAAAAGCAGAAGAGGAUGAGGUCGAAGAGGAAUGAGGAUGAUAUGGAUGAUAGAUCUGAAUUGAUGACGAUGACUAAUUCGAGGAUUCCCCGUUCCCUCCCUCCGCCCAGAUGGGCAGAGUUUCUGUGGCAUAAGCGGAAGGUUGAUAAGGUUUUGAAUCACUCCAAAGAUGUCAGCGUCCACCUUUUGACCCUGUUGGUAGAUUAUUUUGAUUGGCUUUCACUUUUCCACCAAUCACAAUCUGAGCACAUCAUCUACCGCUGCAUCGCCAAGCUGACCCCGGAUACACUCCUCCGACUGAUGCCUUUUGCCCUUUUCAGAUUCUGUGUAAAGGUCAGAAGAUCUUGCUAAAGAGCAUCAGUCUGAGUCGCCCUGGCGCUCUCUCUCACAGCCAGCAGAGCCAGGUACACACACCUGACACACCCCAGUCCCAGCUCCAUACACUCCACACAAGAAAUCUCAUCUGCACAAGUUAUUAGUUAAUUAGUUAUUAGCAC
This 1368-nucleotide long non-coding RNA is filed under the name Astyanax mexicanus (Mexican tetra). RNAcentral's name for it is "lncRNA (ENSAMXG00005003046.1)". The record is from RNAcentral. Lineage: Eukaryota; Metazoa; Chordata; Actinopteri; Characiformes; Acestrorhamphidae.